This 770-nucleotide ribosomal RNA is filed under the name uncultured bacterium. Its description in RNAcentral is "bacterial SSU rRNA". It matches the Rfam family "Bacterial small subunit ribosomal RNA", at positions 8 to 776 of the family's 1533-position model. The record is from RNAcentral.
AGAGUUUGAUCAUGGCUCAGAUUGAACGCUGGCGGUAUGCUUAACACAUGCAAGUCGAACGGUAGCAGGCCUUCGGGCGCUGACGAGUGGCGGACGGGUGAGUAACGCGUAGGAAUCUGCCUCAUAGUGGGGGACAACGUGGGGAAACUCACGCUAAUACCGCAUACGCCCUACGGGGGAAAGCGGGGGAUCUUCGGACCUCGCGCUAUGAGAUGAGCCUGCGUUAGAUUAGCUAGUUGGUAGGGUAAAGGCCUACCAAGGCGACGAUCUAUAGCUGGUCUGAGAGGACGAUCAGCCACACUGGGACUGAGACACGGCCCAGACUCCUACGGGAGGCAGCAGUGGGGAAUAUUGGACAAUGGGCGCAAGCCUGAUCCAGCAAUACCGCGUGUGUGAAGAAGGCCCUAGGGUUGUAAAGCACUUUCAAUUGGGAGGAAAACCUGCCGGUUAAUACCCGGUAGCUUGACAUUACCUAUAGAAGAAGCACCGGCUAACUCCGUGCCAGCAGCCGCGGUAAUACGGAGGGUGCGAGCGUUAAUCGGAAUUACUGGGCGUAAAGCGUGCGUAGGCGGUUCGUUAAGUCAGAUGUGAAAGCCCCGGGCUUAACCUGGGAACGGCAUUUGAAACUGGCGGACUGGAGUUGAGUAGAGGGGAGUGGAAUUUCAGGUGUAGCGGUGAAAUGCGUAGAUAUCUGAAGGAACACCAGUGGCGAAGGCGACUCCCUGGACUCAAACUGACGCUGAGGUACGAAAGCGUGGGUAGCAAACAGG